This 112-nucleotide ribosomal RNA is filed under the name Caerostris darwini. The record is from RNAcentral. Lineage: Eukaryota; Metazoa; Arthropoda; Arachnida; Araneae; Araneidae.
AACGGCCGUACCAUGCUGAAUAUACCGGUUCUCGUUAGAUCACCGAAGUUAAGCAUCAUUGGGCGCGGUCAGUACUUGGGUGGGUAACCACCUGGGAACACUGCGUGCUGUU